This 253-nucleotide ribosomal RNA is filed under the name uncultured bacterium. RNAcentral describes it as "partial 16S ribosomal RNA". It matches the Rfam family "Bacterial small subunit ribosomal RNA", at positions 524 to 776 of the family's 1533-position model. The record is from RNAcentral.
GACGAACCACACAAACGUUAUUCGGAAUUACUGGGCUUAAAGGGUGCGUAGGCGGGUAAGUAAGUCCGUGGUGAAAUCUCUGAGCUUAACUCAGAAACUGCCGUGGAUACUAUUUGCCUUGAAUACUGUGGAGGUGAGCGGAAUAUGUCAUGUAGCGGUGAAAUGCUUAGAUAUGACAUAGAACACCAAUUGCGAAGGCAGCUCACUACACAAUCAUUGACGCUGAGGCACGAAAGCGUGGGGAUCAAACAGG